Molecule: unclassified non-coding RNA, 96 nt
Organism: Cebus imitator (Panamanian white-faced capuchin)
Lineage: Eukaryota; Metazoa; Chordata; Mammalia; Primates; Cebidae
Rfam family: Y RNA
About the family: Y RNAs are components of the Ro ribonucleoprotein particle (Ro RNP), in association with Ro60 and La proteins. The Y RNAs and Ro60 and La proteins are well conserved, but the function of the Ro RNP is not known.
Source: Ensembl
GGCUGGUCUGAUAGUAGUGGGUUAUCAGAACUUACUAAUAUUAGUGUCACUAAAGUUGGCAUACAACCCCCCACUGCUAAAUUUGACUGGCUUAAA